AUUGAACGCUGGCGGCAUGCUUUACACAUGCAAGUCGGACGCGUGGCGAACGGGUGAGUAAUAUAUUGGAACGUACCUAGUAAUGGGGGAUAACCAAUCGAAAGAUUGGCUAAUACCGCAUAAUAUUCGAGCGGCCGAUAUCGGAUUAGCUAGUUGGUGGGGUAAAGGCCUACCAAGGCGACUAUCAGUAGCGGGUCUGAGAGGAUGAUCCGCAACACUGGGCCUGAGACACGGCCCAGAAUCCUACGUGAGGCAGCAGUGGGGAAAUUUGGACAAUGGGGGCAAGCCUGAUCCAGCCAUCCCGCGUGUAGGAAGAAGGCCUUCGGGUUGUAAAGUACUUUUGUUAGGGAAGCGGUAUCUAAAGAAUAAGCACCGGCUAACUACGUGCCAGCAGCCGCGGUAAUUC
RNAcentral lists this ribosomal RNA (406 nucleotides) under uncultured bacterium. Its description in RNAcentral is "partial 16S ribosomal RNA". It matches the Rfam family "Bacterial small subunit ribosomal RNA", at positions 30 to 526 of the family's 1533-position model. The record is from RNAcentral.